AUUGAACGCUGGCGGCAGGCCUAACACAUGCAAGUCGAGCGGAAACGACACUAACAAUCCUUCGGGUGCGUUAAUGGGCGUCGAGCGGCGGACGGGUGAGUAAUGCCUAGGAAAUUGCCUUGAUGUGGGGGAUAACCAUUGGAAACGAUGGCUAAUACCGCAUGAUGCCUACGGGCCAAAGAGGGGGACCUUCGGGCCUCUCGCGUCAAGAUAUGCCUAGGUGGGAUUAGCUAGUUGGUGAGGUAAUGGCUCACCAAGGCGACGAUCCCUAGCUGGUCUGAGAGGAUGAUCAGCCACACUGGAACUGAGACACGGUCCAGACUCCUACGGGAGGCAGCAGUGGGGAAUAUUGCACAAUGGGCGCAAGCCUGAUGCAGCCAUGCCGCGUGUAUGAAGAAGGCCUUCGGGUUGUAAAGUACUUUCAGUUGUGAGGAAGGGGGUAGCGUUAAUAGCGCUAUCUCUUGACGUUAGCAACAGAAGAA
RNAcentral lists this ribosomal RNA (482 nucleotides) under uncultured bacterium. RNAcentral describes it as "bacterial SSU rRNA". It matches the Rfam family "Bacterial small subunit ribosomal RNA", at positions 30 to 489 of the family's 1533-position model. The record is from RNAcentral.